This is a non-coding RNA of Hordeum vulgare subsp. vulgare (domesticated barley), 125 nucleotides long. NCBI's taxonomy places the organism in Eukaryota, Viridiplantae, Streptophyta, Magnoliopsida, Poales, Poaceae. The record is from Rfam.
CUACUACUCCGUCCGUCCGAAAUUACUUUUCACACAAAUGGAUAAAAAUCAAUGUAUCUAGAACUAAAAUACAUCUAGAUACAUCCAUUCUUAUGACAAGUAUUUUUGGACGGAGGGGGUAUUUC